Non-coding RNA from Coffea arabica (coffee), 345 nucleotides. The record is from RefSeq and is a predicted model, not a curated record. NCBI's taxonomy places the organism in Eukaryota, Viridiplantae, Streptophyta, Magnoliopsida, Gentianales, Rubiaceae.
UGCAGAUGUCAUAUAAACAAGAGCUUUGUGAGAUAAUAAGUUGGGGAAAGGGAUUGGAGAGUGUAUCAAAAUUUCCAUAUGCAAGGGACAGAUUUGUGGAAUGCUACUUCUGGGCUGUUGGAACCUUGUAUGAGCCUCAGCACUCUCUUGCUCGAAUGACUUUUGCGAAAGUAGCAGCCCUUAUUACAAUGAUUGAUGACAUCUAUGAUGCUUAUGGCACUCUUGAUGAACUUCAAAUUCUCACAGACUCUGCAGAAAGGUGGGAUAGCAGUGGAGCAGAUCAACUCUCAGACUACAUCAGAGCUUCCUACACCGCACUUCUGAAAUUUAAUAAGGAGGUUGGGG